This 497-nucleotide ribosomal RNA is filed under the name uncultured bacterium. Its description in RNAcentral is "partial 16S ribosomal RNA". It matches the Rfam family "Bacterial small subunit ribosomal RNA", at positions 28 to 507 of the family's 1533-position model. The record is from RNAcentral.
GAUGAACGCUGGCGGCGUGCCUAAUACAUGCAAGUCGAGCGAACAGAUGAGGAGCUUGCUCCUCUGACGUUAGCGGCGGACGGGUGAGUAACACGUGGAUAACCUACCUAUAAGACUGGGAUAACUUCGGGAAACCGGAGAUAAUACCGGAGAAUAUAUUGAACCGCAUGGUUCAAUAGUGAAAGACGGUUUUGCUGUCACUUAUAGAUGGAUCCGCGCCGCAUUAGCUAGUUGGUAAGGUAACGGCUUACCAAGGCAACGAUGCGUAGCCGACCUGAGAGGGUGAUCGGCCACACUGGAACUGAGACACGGUCCAGACUCCUACGGGAGGCAGCAGUAGGGAAUCUUCCGCAAUGGGCGAAAGCCUGACGGAGCAACGCCGCGUGAGUGAUGAAGGUCUUCGGAUCGUAAAACUCUGUUAUUAGGGAAGAACAAAUGUGUAAGUAACUAUGCACGUCUUGACGGUACCUAAUCAGAAAGCCACGGCUAACUACGUG